This 73-nucleotide transfer RNA is filed under the name Ignavibacteria bacterium. RNAcentral describes it as "tRNA-Ala". It matches the Rfam family "tRNA". Rfam says of the family: Transfer RNA (tRNA) molecules are approximately 80 nucleotides in length. Their secondary structure includes four short double-helical elements and three loops (D, anti-codon, and T loops). Lineage: Bacteria; Pseudomonadati; Ignavibacteriota; Ignavibacteria. The record is from RNAcentral.
GGGCUCGUAGCUCAGUUGGGAGAGCGCUAGAAUCGCACUCUAGAGGUCGUGAGUUCAACUCUCAUCGAGUCCA